RNA transcript from Syngnathus typhle (broad-nosed pipefish), 1280 nucleotides. It is a transcript of the gene named putative transmembrane protein 244, with no coding region annotated. The record is from RefSeq and is a predicted model, not a curated record. NCBI's taxonomy places the organism in Eukaryota, Metazoa, Chordata, Actinopteri, Syngnathiformes, Syngnathidae. The transcript is spliced from 9 exons.
UGUCAUCGUUUUAAUCUGAUUUCUAUUGCGAUAUAACGUUUUAGUCCUGACGCAGGGUCAACGCUGGGAAUAAGAUGAUGUUUUGGUGCGGUUUAAGGGCCUCAACCUGAAGAAAAGUAACUAACGUGGCGGUAGAGGACCGUAGAAGAGAGCGGAUGACGGGAGGAUCAGGGUGAUGAGGUGGGGGCGGUGUAUUUGGACUGCAAUCCCCGCAGCCAUCCUCACCUCACGGCUCACGCAUGAUCGUGCUGACGCGAAGACACCAUGAAAUGGCAUUCAAAAGCAAAGCGGUCGACACGAAGACCGUAUUCCUCAACCUGCUGCUCUGCCUGCUCAUCUUCUACUCUCUGUUUUACAUGAUCUGCAGUAUUUGUUUCGGUGCCUUCAGGUUGGAUGACUUCGAUGGACGGAUCCCUUUCGACUUCAAGACCAAGCCGGAGGAUUCUGUCUCGAAAUACUUGGUCAACCUGUUGUCCUUGGAGCUCACUUACUUCAGCAGUGGCUUGCUGUUUGCCGCUGUGGUGAAGAGGAGAGUGUGGGACUACGCUCUAACGGUCACUUGUCUGCACAUCUUCAUCACCAGCCUUGUGAUGCUGGAGUUUCCCCUGGCAUGGCAGUGGUGGUUGGCCUUAGGUAGCGGCUUGUUUCUGAUGAUCUGCAAUGGUCAGCUGAUUGCUUACUUUGCAUGCCAGGAUGAAAAAAGCUACGUUACGUUCACCGUCUAUUAAAUGUCCGAAAGCGUCUGGAGACCUUCCUCUCCAGUAAACCCUUUAAUAGCGAGCAGGCCGCCUCAGAUGUUCCACUACGCAGGCAAAGAGGUGAGGGACCUUCCUGGUGUCCUGGCUUUAAAUGAGAGGUCAAUGGAAUAACAAUUGUCAUAUUGUUUUUCAAUGUGUAUUUUAAUGGCAACUUACUGCUGGCAAAGUGGUUGAUAGGGGGAAAGUUUGUGUAUUACGUCCUUGAAGAGAGUUUUUCUCACCUUGUGCAGAGCUGAAAGCGGAAAGUUAGUUAUGUAACAAUUUAUCACUUUGCUGCCCAGUGCCCUCUGCCAUAUUUAAUUCAGCACACAAAACAUAUAAUGAGAGCUCUAGUUGACUUUUAUAAUGACGAAUAGUGGCAUUAUUUUAAAUUCUAAUUCUUUUGUUUUUAGCCAAAUGGGGCAAGGUACAAAUGUGCCCAAAGAGUAAUUUAAAACUGUCUCAUCUAAGUCUCAAAAUGUCCUUCACUAUCAGAAGCAGCGUUUAGUAAAGACUAAGUCAUUAAACGCAACUUGUAAUAAC